AGAGUAGUAUUCACUUAUGAUUUAUAGUUUGCAACUAUUAGGUGCUUCUGAACAGCCUACUUUA
Molecule: transfer RNA, 64 nt
Filed under: Calanus sinicus
Lineage: Eukaryota; Metazoa; Arthropoda; Copepoda; Calanoida; Calanidae
Description: tRNA-Ala
Source: RNAcentral